This 119-nucleotide non-coding RNA is filed under the name human gut metagenome. RNAcentral describes it as "FMN riboswitch (RFN element)". It matches the Rfam family "FMN riboswitch aptamer (RFN element)". Rfam says of the family: The RFN element is a highly conserved domain that is found frequently in the 5'-untranslated regions of prokaryotic mRNAs that encode for flavin mononucleotide (FMN) biosynthesis and transport proteins. This element is a metabolite-dependent riboswitch that directly binds FMN in the absence of proteins. In Bacillus subtilis, the riboswitch most likely controls gene expression by causing premature transcription termination within the 5' untranslated region of the ribDEAHT operon and precluding access to the ribosome-binding site of ypaA mRNA. The record is from RNAcentral.
AUCUUCAGGGCAGGGUGAUCGCCUCUGGCGAAAUUCCCGACCGGCGGUAAAGUCCGCGAACCCGAAAGGGCCGAUCCGGUUCAAUUCCGGAACCGACAGUACAGUCUGGAUGAAAGAAG